This 76-nucleotide transfer RNA is filed under the name Candidatus Kerfeldbacteria bacterium CG08_land_8_20_14_0_20_40_16. RNAcentral describes it as "tRNA-Met". It matches the Rfam family "tRNA". Rfam says of the family: Transfer RNA (tRNA) molecules are approximately 80 nucleotides in length. Their secondary structure includes four short double-helical elements and three loops (D, anti-codon, and T loops). Further hydrogen bonds mediate the characteristic L-shaped molecular structure. tRNAs have two regions of fundamental functional importance: the anti-codon, which is responsible for specific mRNA codon recognition, and the 3' end, to which the tRNAs corresponding amino acid is attached (by aminoacyl-tRNA synthetases). tRNAs cope with the degeneracy of the genetic code in two manners: having more than one tRNA (with a specific anti-codon) for a particular amino acid; and 'wobble' base-pairing, i.e. permitting non-standard base-pairing at the 3rd anti-codon position. Lineage: Bacteria; Candidatus Kerfeldiibacteriota. The record is from RNAcentral.
CGCGGGAUAGAGCAGCGGUCAGCUCGUCAGGCUCAUAACCUGGAGGUCGGGGGUUCGAAUCCCCCUCCCGCAACCA